GAACGCAUAUUGCGCUCUUUGGUAUUCCGAAGAGCAUGCUUGUUUGAGUAUCAGUAAACACCUCAAAACUUUUUUUUAUUUUUUGAAAAGCAGUUUUGGACUUGAGCAAUCCCAACACCAAUCUUUUUUAGAUCGGUGGCGGGUUGCUUGAAAUGCAGGUGCAGCUGGACAUUCUCCUGAGCUAAAAGCAUAUUUAUUUAGUCCCGUCAAACGGAUUAUUACUUUUUGCUGCAGCUAACAUAAAGGGAGUUUUGACCAUUAUGGCUGACUGAUGCAGGAUUUCACAGAGAAAAGGCCGGCAACGGUUUUGUCUCUGUCAAACUCGAUCUCAAAUCAAGUAAGACUACCCGCUGAACUUAAG
Molecule: unclassified non-coding RNA, 361 nt
Filed under: uncultured fungus
Lineage: Eukaryota; Fungi
Description: sequence contains 5.8S rRNA gene
Rfam family: 5.8S ribosomal RNA (bases 1-53)
Source: RNAcentral